GGCCGCGGGAAUUCGAUUGAGUUUGAUCCUGGCUCAGGAUGAACGCUGGCGGCGUGCCUAACACAUGCAAGUCGAGCGGAGCGGUCUUGAUGAAGUUUUCGGAUGGAAUCAGGAUUGUCUUAGCGGCGGACGGGUGAGUAACACGUGGAUAACCUGCCUUAUACUGGGGGAUAACAGCCAGAAAUGGCUGCUAAUACCGCAUAAGCGCACGGCGCCGCAUGGCGCAGUGUGAAAAACUCCGGUGGUAUAAGAUGGAUCCGCGCCUGAUUAGCUAGUUGGCGGGGCAGCGGCCCACCAAGGCGACGAUCAGUAGCCGGCCUGAGAGGGCGAUCGGCCACAUUGGGACUGAGACACGGCCCAAACUCCUACGGGAGGCAGCAGUGGGGAAUAUUGCACAAUGGGGGGAACCCUGAUGCAGCGACGCCGCGUGAGUGAAGAAGUAUUUCGGUAUGUAAAGCUCUAUCAGCAGGGAAGAAGAUGACGGUACCUGACUAAGAAGCCCCGGCUAACUACGUGCCAGCAGCCGCGGUAAUACGUAGGGGGCAAGCGUUAUCCGGAUUUACUGGGUGUAAAGGGAGCGUAGACGGCAGGGCAAGUCUGGAGUGAAAGCCCGGGGCCCAACCCCGGGACUGCUUUGGAAACUGCCAUGCUGGAGUGCUGGAGAGGUAAGCGGAAUUCCUAGUGUAGCGGUGAAAUGCGUAGAUAUUANGAGGAACACCAGUGGCGAAGGCGGCUUACUGGACAGUAACUGACGUUGAGGCUCGAAAG
This 768-nucleotide ribosomal RNA is filed under the name uncultured bacterium. Its description in RNAcentral is "partial 16S ribosomal RNA". It matches the Rfam family "Bacterial small subunit ribosomal RNA", at positions 1 to 759 of the family's 1533-position model. The record is from RNAcentral.